RNAcentral lists this ribosomal RNA (135 nucleotides) under Burkholderia pseudomallei. RNAcentral describes it as "partial 23S ribosomal RNA". It matches the Rfam family "Bacterial large subunit ribosomal RNA", at positions 2607 to 2741 of the family's 2925-position model. Lineage: Bacteria; Pseudomonadati; Pseudomonadota; Betaproteobacteria; Burkholderiales; Burkholderiaceae. The record is from RNAcentral.
GGGUUUAAAACGUCGUGAGACAGUUUGGUCCCUAUCUGCCGUGGGCGUUGGAAGUUUGAAGGGGGCUGCUCCUAGUACGAGAGGACCGGAGUGGACGAACCUCUGGUGUACCGGUUGUGACGCCAGUUUUGCAGC